Oryzias latipes (Japanese medaka) is the source of this 995-nucleotide non-coding RNA. Lineage: Eukaryota; Metazoa; Chordata; Actinopteri; Beloniformes; Adrianichthyidae. The record is from RefSeq and is a predicted model, not a curated record.
CUCAAAGGGCAAGCAGGGUGGUUUAAGGAGUUCAAAGUGGUAAGCAGGCGUUGCUGAUUGGACGGUUGCUGCGUUUUGAAUCUCCCGCUCAUUUCCUGAUACGGAUUCAGUCAGUCGUCCUGGUCCGUCAACGCAAGGAGAUUCUGCACUUCUGUCGCACCAUUCAUCCAGGCCAUUUAUUGAUAUCAAGACACGCUGCCGAGGCCGACUCCAUCUGCCGAGAUUGACGUCACACACACAGAGCGAAAGCCGGUGACUCAGAGGAUGAGUCCUGUUAUUUCCAGUUUGGAAAAAAACGCAGGAUAAUAACCAAUAUUUAAUCAAAAAAAUCCUUUUGUGUGUGUGCCAAAGGUCACCUGCAGCUUCACUCAAGUUGUCGUGACAGACUCGCCGAUAUAGAUUUCAUGUCAGCAGUUGUUGCUGUGGUUGGAGUAAUUGGGGACUCUUGGACGAUGCAACCAGAAGAAUGAUGGGCUUCCUCAUGUCCAAUGAGUUGGCUCUGCAAUAUAACCUGUUUGGACGUCAUGGAGAGAAUAAAUUCUGCUAACUGCGUCUUUUUGAUGUCUUCUAUGGGGCAGUGAAGAAAAAAUGACAUCACCCAACCAGUCCCACUAAAGGAAGUGGAGAAGGGCCUCUCCAAAUGGUUUGUUGGAGCUCGUGACAGGGGAGGAAACCGAGCUAUAAGGACUCAAAGAGAGCUUGAAUAUCAAGCCGAUGGAGCUUGUUCUCAGGAACCGUCAAGGAUGCUAUGAGUAUUUUGUUUUACUGGAUUUAUUUAUUUUUUCGUCACAUAAUUGGCACACAUUAAGGUUGUUCAUAUUGUACUGUACCAAGUGAAGUAGUUCUUUAUUUUAUUAAGUAACUGUUGUAUGUUAGAUCCUGUGUGUUAUCUGUUAAACCUUUGGGUGACCUUGCCAUGGUCUUGUAUCUCGUUUUCACAAUGCAGGAUCAGGAUAAUUUAUUUUCUUUUAUUAAAUUGAAACAUUUUAAAAGCA